This 483-nucleotide ribosomal RNA is filed under the name uncultured bacterium. Its description in RNAcentral is "partial 16S ribosomal RNA". It matches the Rfam family "Bacterial small subunit ribosomal RNA", at positions 28 to 507 of the family's 1533-position model. The record is from RNAcentral.
GACGAACGCUGGCGGCGUGCUUAACACAUGCAAGUCGAACGCUGAAGCUCAGCUUUUGUUGGGUGGAUGAGUGGCGAACGGGUGAGUAACACGUGAGUAACCUGCCCCCUUCUUUGGGAUAACGCCCGGAAACGGGUGCUAAUACUGGAUAUUCACUGGUCUUCGCAUGGGGGUUGGUGGAAAGGGUUUUUCUGGUGGGGGAUGGGCUCGCGGCCUAUCAGCUUGUUGGUGGGGUGAUGGCCUACCAAGGCUUUGACGGGUAGCCGGCCUGAGAGGGUGACCGGUCACAUUGGGACUGAGAUACGGCCCAGACUCCUACGGGAGGCAGCAGUGGGGAAUAUUGCACAAUGGGCGCAAGCCUGAUGCAGCGACGCCGCGUGAGGGAUGGAGGCCUUCGGGUUGCGAACCUCUUUAGCUCAUGGUCAAGCCGCAACAAUGGUUGUGGUGAGGGUAGUGGGUAAAGAAGCGCCGGCUAACUACGUG